GUGCUUGCUUCGGCAGCACAUAUACUAAAACUGGAGUGAUACAGAGAAGAUAGCAUGGCCCCUGCACGAGGAAGACACACAAAUUCGUGAGGCGUUCCAUACUUUU
Molecule: small nuclear RNA, 106 nt
Organism: Peromyscus maniculatus bairdii (prairie deer mouse)
Lineage: Eukaryota; Metazoa; Chordata; Mammalia; Rodentia; Cricetidae
Source: Ensembl